This 1305-nucleotide long non-coding RNA is filed under the name Gopherus evgoodei (Goodes thornscrub tortoise). RNAcentral's name for it is "lncRNA (ENSGEVG00005006880.1)". The record is from RNAcentral. Lineage: Eukaryota; Metazoa; Chordata; Testudines; Testudinidae.
AUGAAGAACCGGGCUGCCUCAGGUAAAGCCAUCGCCCCUGCAGGGGAGGGUGCGCAAGCAAAUGCCCCUGUGUUGCUGAGCCCUUCUGCCAAGGGCAAAGGUCCCGUCGCAGCCGCGGGAAAAGCAGGACUUUGUGCUGCAGGCAGAGCCACCCAGAGCCAGGCUGUGCCCCCAGCACCUGGCAAAGGGCAGGAGAGCCCGGACAGCAGCAGUUCCUCCGAUAGCGAGGAGGAGGACACGGCCAAGCAGUCCUCGAGGCCUGCAGGGGCACCCCAGAAACAGGGAGCGACGAAGGAGGCCGACAGCACCUCAUCGGAGUCCAACAAGGAAGAGCAGCAGCUUUCGCAGUCCCUUCUAAUAGGCUAUCUAGGUCUUUCUAAAGCUCCAGCAGCACCCCAAGUGCAAACACCUGCUUCCCUGACCUCACCCAACGCAGGACGUAGAAAAGCAGCAGCUGCUGCCAGCACCCUCACCAAACCUGGGAAAGCAGCGCUGCCUGACGUCUCGGAGAGUGACAGCAGUGACUCUGAUACGGAUGCUGAGAAGACGUCAGCCAAACAGACGGCAGAGAGCAAGUCGUCCUCUUCUGGGGAGGUAGCGGUCACCACAAAAGUGGCCUCUAGCCAAGAGACUGCAGCAGGGAAAGCGGGCGAAAGAGGCACCAGUCUCAAAGCCUCACGGGCAAAGAAAGCCCUGGUGGUGACUCAGAAUGCUGGUGGUCCUAAGGGCUCUCCAGGGACGCCGUCGCCGUAUGCUCUGCUGUCCAUCGCUCAGUCGGAGCAGGAGAGCUCCGUGAGCGACAGCGAAGACAGGGUUACUACUGCUGCCAAGGCUCCGGGCGGGCAAGCGCCAGGGGAGCUGGAGGGGGGGAAGAAGGAGCAGAAGGCAGUGAAGAACACCCCCGCAGCAUCAGCCAAGGCUCUGAAAGCAACGAAAGCACCAAAGCUUGGGGACAAAGAGAACAAGAAGCAGAAAUCCUCCGUGAAAAGGAAGCUGGCAGCAGGGGAUGCCAGCCCCGCGAAGCCCAAGCCGAAGAAGCUGAAAAGUGGCCUCGAGACUCCCAAAAAGAAGAAAAGCCAAGGGGAGAGAGCAGCGGGCAGCAAGGAGAAGAAGAAGAAAGCCAGUAAAAAGAAGAAGACUGUGAAAGACAAGAAGAAGAAAAGCAAGAAGGCUGCAGCUGGAGUGGAGCCAAGCACGGACGGGUCUGCUUCCACCCCCCAAAAGAAGAAGAAGAAGAAGAAAGCUGCUGAGCUCGAGGGAUCCUUGGGAGAAGAGCACCUCCCUCGGACGGCCGACAACGAAUGA